Molecule: transfer RNA, 355 nt
Filed under: uncultured Microcystis sp.
Lineage: Bacteria; Bacillati; Cyanobacteriota; Cyanophyceae; Chroococcales; Microcystaceae
Description: partial 16S-23S ribosomal RNA intergenic spacer
Rfam family: tRNA (bases 133-206)
Source: RNAcentral
AAGGGAGACCUAAUUCGGGUAUAAGACGAAAAAAGAGUAGUCGAAACCAAGAAUCAAUCCCAAAAGGUCGGAACGAGGUAUGUGGCUUUCAAACUAGGUUCUGGGUUCACACAAGACCUGAAUCAGGAACAAGGGCUAUUAGCUCAGGUGGUCAGAGCGCACCCCUGAUAAGGGUGAGGUCCCUGGUUCGAGUCCAGGAUGGCCCACCUGCACAGGUGGCAAAAACAAAGAAGCGAGGAAUCAGCACCUUAUCUUAUCUAUAUAUAAGAGAGAAUGCUGGCUCUGAGUAAAGAGUCCAGAGGAACCUUGAAAACUGCAUAGAGCUAGGUGAAAAAGCCAAAAAAGAAGACCGCAA